AGAGAGUCCACAGGACUAUGAGGGGCAGAGACCCAGUUAGCCAAUCAUAUUCCUAUCAAUAGGACCUUUGGUCCACUUGUCAAUAUGAGGAUAGCUAUAGUUUGAAAUAAAUAUUCAAGUGUUGCAAAGGCAAAUUACUUGUAUAAGAAAUAUUCUUUGAGACUUGAAAAUUGACAUCUUCUCAUUCAAGAUUAAUGGCACUUAGAUUAGAAAGUAAAUAUGACUCAUUUUAUUAAUCUCAUCAGAUUGAAAUCUCCUUAAGAAAGAGGGCAUGCUUGCUCAUGGCUUCAACCUCGUUGUCUUACACAUGCCUGACACAGAACCCAAGCUCAAUAAAAAUUCAGUGAAAUAAUAAAUCCGUUUUGCUACCAAUUCACCACCUAGGAAAAAAACUGGCAAGUGAAAGGAAAUUUAAAAGCUGUAGCAAAUUUAUUUGCAAGAUUAGAAAAAGGCUGUUCUGAAGACAAUAGAAAAUUUUAAGUGCCAAGUAAGAAGAAACCCAUACCGUCAUCCACUAUAAAUCCACAUCUGUUGUUUAUUUCUAUUGAUAGUUAUUUUCCCCAAGUUUAGAGGUAUUACUAAUGAAAAGAAAGAACUGAAAUGCUGACUGCUAAGACUUCAAAAAGUUGAGGGAGUUACUUUGCCUUAGUUCUUUAAGUUAAUGAAAUCUUGUUCAAACCCAUCCACCAACCCUUCAUUCAAAUGUCACUUUCCUGAUUGCUUUUGUUAUGUGCCACUGAGUCAUAGAGAUUUCACGGCUGACUCAUGUAGUGGCAAGGCAAUAAAUCAUAACCACCAAAUAACGCUAGAGAAAUUACAAAUGAUAGACGGCAUUUCAGAGGACUGCCUGUGGGAAACCAGAAAAUUAAAACUGAAGUUGAGAAGUAGAAAUCUGAAGAGAAAGCAAGAACAAUCCAACAUUCAGACCUUCGGUGAGGAACACUUAAUUGCUGCCACUUUUUAAGGAAUGCUUCCCAUAUUUUCUUCAGCAGAGUGGAAAAAACAAAAUAAAGUAUAAAUACUUUAUGUAAUACUUUAUAUAAAUACUUUAUAAUACUUUAAGUAAUACUUUAUAUACAAUAAAGUAUAAAUACUUUAUAUACAAUAAACUAUAAAUACUUUAUACAUAAAUC
This 1133-nucleotide long non-coding RNA is filed under the name Bos grunniens (domestic yak). RNAcentral's name for it is "lncRNA (ENSBGRG00000001364.1)". Lineage: Eukaryota; Metazoa; Chordata; Mammalia; Artiodactyla; Bovidae. The record is from RNAcentral.